Harmonia axyridis is the source of this 795-nucleotide long non-coding RNA. RefSeq lists it as uncharacterized. The transcript has 2 exons. NCBI's taxonomy places the organism in Eukaryota, Metazoa, Arthropoda, Insecta, Coleoptera, Coccinellidae. The record is from RefSeq and is a predicted model, not a curated record.
CCCUCCUGGCUUUUAUCUGUAAUAUUAAGCAUGCCUCAACACUUCCUCCCAUAAAAGAGGACAAAUUGGCGAUUCAAAACGGUUUAUUCAUCAACAGCAAACAAAUUAAAAUAUUUUUAACAAUAAUGACAGCCCAACAAUAAAUUCAGAGACAGAAAAUCUAGCACAUGAGUCAAAACAGUUUUUUUCUUCAAAAGGAAUAAAAUAAUAUGAUAAUAAUAUAAAUAAAUAAAAUAAAAGAUAAGUUAUGCUCUUCAGUGCGUAGACAAAUGCAAUUCAGUAUAGCGACUUUGGUAUGUACUUCAAUAAUGCUUCAAUUUGGUCAACACAAAACAAUGAACAUUAGUAGAGAUUUGAUUUUGUUAAAAUUUAUGAAUAUAAUGAACAUUUGAAGGAUUUUACAGAAACAAAACAAUAUUUGUCACAUCAUUAAUUAGACAACAUAUAGAAAAAAAUAAUGAUAGCUAAAUGAUCACGUCAUCAUGAGUAUUUGCAUGAAAUCUUUUAAAGAAGUUAUUCUCCAUUUUAGAAAGCAAAUUCUUCAGAAGAAUCAGUGUUCUGACCUUGCACAAAUUAAUUCUUUGAAAGCCGCUGGAAUGGGACAAAUAACUGAAGUUACCCGAAGAAUGGCCGUUGUUGGAUGAUAAGCGUUAAUAAGCUCCUUAUAAAGAAACGGGAUAUACUAAUUAUCUUGUAAGGUAUUUCCACUGCUUUGUGCCAUGAACGGAUAACAAAUGUCAUAGCCUGCAAAAUGAUUUUGUGAAGCGAACAAUAAAUGGGAAAAUAUCAAUCGUA